UACAUAAGAGCAACCAAGUGCCGAGUGGCGAGUGGCAACAACAACUGGCCGAAUCCAUUGAAGUAUUGAUGGUCGAAUCAAUGUAGCGGCAACGUUGUUGCCAGCGUUGCUGGCCAUUAGCCGACAUGUCGUAUGCUCCCUCGCCUAGGGCCAUAGAUGCUCCACCCAACCGUUAAUGUCUCGGUUCAGUUACAAUAACGGAAAUGAGUUUUAAUGUGAAAAUAAUUGCAUGUCAUUGACGUUGACAACAGCAACAGAAACAGACACAUCCAGGUCCUUCUCGGGAUCUACAUAUACGUAUGUAUGUACAAAGGGGGCGAAACAAUGAACGAAUAUUGAUAUAAUAUCAUUAAAUUUCAUUUCAUAUUUGCUUUCUGAUGAAUGACAGUCAGUCCAAGUUGCUUUUGCCACUGAUUCUUGGUCUUCACCUCUGGCCAAAUGAUGGAAAUGGAAAUGCAAAACCUUGACUCACAUCUCGCCGAAGAGCAAAAGGCGAGGCUUUUCUUUUGAUUCAUAAUUUCCGGCCAUAAUUAAAAUGUGAAAUUCACAAGUCCAUUGAAAUACGGGUUUCUCCUUCAGCCUUCUCAAAGUAUUUAUAUUUGAUUUAUGUGGAAAAAAGACCUUCAACAUUUCCACAAAAUAAAAAGAACAAAUUAAUUUUAGUUUACGAUAUUAUGCCUCAGAAUGCUUUUCAUAGUAAACUUUGCCAAAAACGUAGUGGAGUAGGGCUUCUCUUCCAUAUUUGAGAAGCAAAAUUUUUUGCCAGGAUAACCCCAGGUUUGAGUAGUGAAUACUGAAUAUCCGUCAAUCAUAAAUUUUGAUUACAAUUUGUAAGGCCACAGUCGACAAACAAAUUGAGGCGAAUGACAAAAUAGAUUAUCACUGCAAAAACAGGAAAAUGAAAAUGGCUAAAAAACAUCCUCAGCACGUCUCUGGACAAGAAAUGAGUUGAGAUUGGACUAAAAAGAUGAAGACACAACCUAACAAACAAACAAACAAUCAAAUUGACCUUAGGGCGGAGAUUGCGAGCCGGAAUAUUUGGCAUUAAAAUAAAUAAUACAUUUAUUCGACGACAAACCGUCACAUUUCAAGGAUUUUGCACGCUGGCCACACGUUUCGGCAAUUUCCGGGCAACAAAACCGGAAAAAUACUUUAAAAUGUAAUAAAUUUGGGAAGAACCUGGAGCAGGGGCGAUGGUGAUUUCGAUGGCGGAGUCCCGGCCUGUCCCUGUCCCAGUCUGUUUGUUUGUGUCAAGGGUCGACAGCUGUGCAGGCGGGGCGGGUCAAAUGUGAGUGCUUGACAAACUGUUGCCGGGACCAAAUCAAUGGCAAAAAAUUACACACGGAUGCCUUGGGGCACUCCUGAAGAGAUUUGCAAACGCAAAAUUCGGCUCAUUUCUGUGGGGUGGG
Molecule: long non-coding RNA, 1409 nt
Organism: Drosophila ananassae
Lineage: Eukaryota; Metazoa; Arthropoda; Insecta; Diptera; Drosophilidae
Exons: 3
Source: RefSeq, a predicted model, not a curated record